CUCUAUGUUGUCCUCAUUGUACAUGCUGUGUGUAUUUUUAUUACAUACACAGCGCAUGCAAUGUGGACAUAAUGGAG
This is a non-coding RNA of Chelonia mydas (Green sea turtle), 77 nucleotides long. The record is from Rfam. NCBI's taxonomy places the organism in Eukaryota, Metazoa, Chordata, Testudines, Cheloniidae.